This 253-nucleotide ribosomal RNA is filed under the name uncultured bacterium. RNAcentral describes it as "partial 16S ribosomal RNA". It matches the Rfam family "Bacterial small subunit ribosomal RNA", at positions 524 to 776 of the family's 1533-position model. The record is from RNAcentral.
UACGUAGGGUGCAAGCGUUGUCCGGAAUUAUUGGGCGUAAAGAGCUCGUAGGCGGUCUGUCGCGUCGGCUGUGAAAACUCGGGGCUCAACCCCGAGCCUGCAGUCGAUACGGGCAGACUAGAGUGCUGUAGGGGAGACUGGAAUUCCUGGUGUAGCGGUGAAAUGCGCAGAUAUCAGGAGGAACACCGGUGGCGAAGGCGGCUCGCUGGACAAGUAUUGACGCUGAGGUGCGAAAGCGUGGGGAGCAAACAGG